Molecule: ribosomal RNA, 510 nt
Filed under: uncultured bacterium
Lineage: Bacteria
Description: partial 16S ribosomal RNA
Rfam family: Bacterial small subunit ribosomal RNA
Source: RNAcentral
GACGAACGCUGGCGGCGUGCUUAACACAUGCAAGUCGAACGAAGAGCGACGGAAGCUUGCUUCUAUCAAUCUUAGUGGCGAACGGGUGAGUAACGCGUAAUCAACCUGCCCUUCAGAGGGGGACAACAGUUGGAAACGACUGCUAAUACCGCAUACGAUCUAAUCUCGGCAUCGAGGAUGGAUGAAAGGUGGCCUCUACAUGUAAGCUAUCACUGAAGGAGGGGAUUGCGUCUGAUUAGCUAGUUGGAGGGGUAACGGCCCACCAAGGCGAUGAUCAGUAGCCGGUCUGAGAGGAUGAACGGCCACAUUGGGACUGAGACACGGCCCAGACUCCUACGGGAGGCAGCAGUGGGGAAUCUUCCGCAAUGGACGAAAGUCUGACGGAGCAACGCCGCGUGAGUGAUGACGGCCUUCGGGUUGUAAAGCUCUGUUAAUCGGGACGAAAGGCCUUCUUGCGAAUAGGGAGAAGGAUUGACGGUACCGGAAGAGAAAGCCACGGCUAACUACGUG